Molecule: ribosomal RNA, 301 nt
Filed under: uncultured bacterium
Lineage: Bacteria
Description: partial 16S ribosomal RNA
Rfam family: Bacterial small subunit ribosomal RNA
Source: RNAcentral
CAGUCGCCGCGGUAAUGCGAAGGGUGCAAGCGUUAAUCGGAAUUACUGGGCGUAAAGCGUGCGUAGGCGGUUUGUUAAGUCUGUUGUGAAAUCCCCGGGCUCAACCUGGGAAUGGCAAUGGAUACUGGCAAGCUAGAGUGUGUCAGAGGAUGGUGGAAUUCCCGGUGUAGCGGUGAAGUGCGUAGAGAUCGGGAGGAACAUCAGUGGCGAAAGCGGCCAUCUGGGACAACACUGACGCUGAGGCACGAAAGCGUGGGGAGCAAACAGGAUUAGAUACCCCUGUAGUCCCUGUCUCUUAUAC